UCGACUUUCCUUGACAUCUACACAUUAGAUAUUUACUGCUUUGAUCGAUUGAUCUAUUUUUGUUUGAUUUGUAUUGUUUCUUGAACUUGAUCAUGCUAUUGUGUAUCUAGAUUUUCAUUAAUUAAUAUAAUAUUGUGAUCGUAGCCUUCGUACAAUUCAUAAUUUCUAAGUAACAAUUCUAAAUCUAUAACUUAGACAUCUGGUAUAAACAACAAAAGAAACUAAUUGGUAGCGGCUGCACAAAGUCCAUUAUGUCGAAUUUUAGAAAAAUACAAUGAAAUAAUCACAUUUUUAUAAAUGUAACUGGACAUUGAAUCAACUGACCAGCAAGGCAAUGAGACAACAUGUAAUGGCAAAUUCAGCUCCGAAUAGGACAUUUUAUUCCCUAAGAGAAUCGGAAAAAGACAUAAAGCUGUCCGAAUUGAAAUGUCGAUAUUAUUCCCGUCCUAACAUACAACCCAUUUGCGAACGAGCAAUAUGAAAUGGUAAAAAUAAAAGUCGAAAAGUGAACGUAGCAUAAAUGAACGACUAGACUGCCACUACUACACUUUUAAUACUUACCAUCUUUCCACUGCGCCCAAUACUGACUAAAAGAGAAGAAAAAUGCUUGCCGCUUAAAUUAACUUUGCACUUAGUCUACCGUUGACGUUUAACCUUUGCCGUCUACUUCAAGAAUAUUGUCAAUAUCGUGGGGGAAGUAAUGUAGCAAUUAAUGUGAACUUCUUUUAAUCCCUAGGGUGCGGUGGGAAUGCAUCUGAACACUGCUCUCGACUACAGAGUAUUUUAGAUUUUAAUAGAGUGCUUAAUAAAUAUUGGCAUCGGGUUUAACUCUUGUUAACUGAAAUAUACAUCUGUAUUUUAAAUUGUGUAAAAAAGAUGUAUUUUGUGCUAUCUAUAAACAAGAGCCUUAGCUCUGAUGGCUUUCACUGAGAAAUCAAGUCAAACUUAAUGAAGAAAUUAAAAACCCUAUGGAAAUAGAUCAUAAUAGAAACUAACGGACGACGACAGGACAAAGAAAACUUCUGUCGGACCGGAUAUUCGAAAACUUUCCGUAUCACCCGAUGUGUUGGAGACAAAAGACUGUUACGUCAUUCAGAAGCCCUGAGAGACUACACAGAUUUAUAUAGUGCAACAUGUACUAUACAGCUGCAGCCCGAGGCUGUCCUCACGUGGGAAUUUCUUGAUAGGUAUCAAUUUUCAAGUAAAAUAUUACAGAUUUUACUCUGUGUACAAAAUUCAUAGAAUCUAUUAUUUUACAUUGGACGUAAAUCAAAACAUCCUCAAAACCACCCACGUUUAUAAUAUUAAUGGCAAGUUCGCGGUAACAGCAUAGAUAAAGUAAUCAAUAGAAAGAACUUGGCUAGGAUAACGCCAAUCUACACUACUGACCAUGAUCGUGGCGAAACGAAUUACUUUGCUGAAUUUUUGAUACAAAGCAAUCCCAUUAAAUCAAAGCAAUGAACGACGAUUGGCCUCAAUCAUGGCGGAUAGUUCAGGUAUUAAAUGUAAACACCUGUUACACUAGAUCAGAUUACACUGACUGACGUUGAAAGCAAUCUGGACAACCGUUAGCAAUUCUGUAACUCGCUGAUUUGGGUAUACUAUCCUACAGUACUUCUAAAAGAGAGUAAUAAUACUAAGGAUACAUUACAGACUUUCAAGUCGAAAACAUUAAUGCGAUUAUAAAUUCAAUGAGACGAGCUUACACUUUGCGUUAACUGCUUCCGACUUGUGAGCAGAAUACUAAGUCAAUGAUUAUUCAUGAUAAAAUUAUUUCAUUAUGCCAAAAUCUCAGAUAUGCAAGUCUUCGAGAGAGUGGAUAAUUGAAUAAGACGUUACACGAGGCGUCAACAUAGAAUCAACAUUAUUAUGGAGCCGGGAACCGCCAGCGGCAACGCUAUUCCAAUUUCGCUUCGCCAUCUUGCGUACAGGCCGUUUCCUGCCCGGCAGGGACUGCCAUGUAGAGCCUGUCAGCCGUCUGCCUCCACCGAUUGUUCCUACAAUGCUGGCCAAUAACUAAUUCUCCACAUCAUAUCACGGAUGAUUGCCAAGGGGAUUGGGACAGAUUAUGAAUCCACACGUCAUAGGAUCCUUAUUAAUGUAAUUAACUUUAUCUAAAUAGCAUUUUGGAUUGCCGAGAAUUUUGAUGUGACUUACGGUUCCCGCAUUGAUAUCCCUUGAAGCAGAAAGGGUUCUAUCUCGGCCUCGAACGCGUUAUUCCAUAUACAUUCCGACCCCCGGACAAACCGUGUGAAUACACCUCUGGAUCGGAGGAGGGGCAUAAAAUAACGAUUGAUAAAUACAUAACAGGGCCUAUUAAAUCGAAAUAGUUUAUUUAAAAUCCAGAGAAUAUGCAUUUUGACAUCACCGCGCGAAGUAGAGAAAAAAGUAGGACAGCGAACCCUAGAUUCCGACGCUUUGUGGCUAAGGAAAUAACUGGGAAAGCGCUGAAAUGAGAGCGAGCGACGCUAAAUAAAAUUCCAGUCAUUGGAUAGAUAAAUCAGGCUUGCCGCAAUCAGGAACGUGCAGCCAGUGUGAAGGGGCGUGACAGCAAACGUGUUACCCGAAGAAAAUAAGCGACCCAAUGAUUUUACUACUAUGGAUGCCGAAGAUCGUGCGAAGUGGAUAAGAAAAAGAAGUAAAGCGGUCACUGGGCUCCAACGUUUACCGGUAGAGGAUGGCAAACUCAUAGAUACUCAAGACGCCGGGUUCGAAGAGUUCUCCGUUGCCACUAAGAAGUUCUUGUAGUUGACCUCCACUCGUUACCAGCGCUACUUUUCUUCCGAUGUCCCUGAGCUAGGCUUAGGCAUUGGGAAUAUACUAAAUAGUGUGUAAAAUAAUUUAACCGGAGUUUUCAGUUCAAUCAAAGCAUAAUUUUAAUUAUAUUGAUUUAAUUUUAAUCAGGAACAUGUUUGUAAUUAAAAUCAAAUCGUUUUGUAAGAUUCAUAAUUACAGUUUAUAAGUAUAUAGUCUACGAAGUUAUAGGUACGCAUCGAGAUGAAGUGUACUUCAUCAUUCCAAAUUAAUCAGAGUUAAUGAUACUCCACAAUUUCCCCGUGGUGUUUAUUGAACUGAAAAUUAUACGAAACGAAUUUUUGGUAUAUCGCUGUAAGUUAAUUGGGGAUGUUCGGUGCUAUUGAUUUAAUUAGCCGGUAACCUGAUGUAGAGUGCAUUCGAGCGUUAAAAUACAGAUUGGAUUUAACACAAUGAUUGUGAUAUGUAUGUAGUACACAAUAUUACAUAUUUAUAAAAUAGUCGAUUUGAUAUUAACAAAACUAUAGCAUGGUUUUGCUAUUCGAUGUGUACAUGCGCUCAGAAUGUUGUUCGGGGACGGGAUGAAAUACCCAUUUUGGCGCGAACAAAGCUUUCACAAACACGAUAUCGUCAGCAUAUCAAUCAAUUGAAAACAACAUUGUACUGAGCUCUAAAUCCAAGUUACAUCUAACUACAAACUAUCGCCAGAUGUACCUUUUUAUAAUAAACAACCUUUAUUUCUAAGGAGAUGGGAUUUCCAGAGUUCCCUUCGUAGUGCAUACUUCCGUAAUAUUACUUUUAUUAUAUACUAGCUUUUGCCCACUCUUAUUGUUGUCGAUAUCUCAAGUCCUAAGGAACGUAUCGCAAUGAAACCUGUACCAGAUUUUAAGUAACAUCAUCCGAUAUACAACUGUGAAAACCACAACCAAUUCCAUCAAAUAUGAAAUCAAAAAUAAUGGCCCAUAAUUAUUGUUCUUUAUCUCCUACAAUUUUAUUAAAUGUGUAGAAGAUUUGAAGAACUUUGAAAAUGUUCUACAUACAGCUCCAGCGCUUCCCUAUCAAUAAGCCAAUCAAGCGUAAUUUCACUCAAAUUAAUAUUGAAAAAAAUAACUUAGGUUAAAUCAAAUCAAACCAUAUUCAUCCACUUGGCUGCUUCGAUGUGAACACGGGCUCUCAAUUAAACACAUAAAAUUACUUCGUUGUGGUUGAUAAGUACAUACCUAACAUAUCCACCGCCAAAAUGUAAAUAUUUUCCGCUCUAUUUUUUUUUUAUGAGAAUCUGAUUGAAUAUUCUAUCACAAUAUUGCCAUGCAGUCUACAUUUCUGCUGAAAUUUUUUUUUUUAGAUUUUCAGACGAAUAAAUCAAGAAUUUUCUGAUUUUAAUUUUGGUUACUUUAAGAACACAUAUCGAUUCAACUUCGCCAGGUUCAUUCUAGAUGAUGUUAUAUCGAGG
Plodia interpunctella (Indianmeal moth) is the source of this 4207-nucleotide long non-coding RNA. RefSeq lists it as uncharacterized. The transcript has 8 exons. NCBI's taxonomy places the organism in Eukaryota, Metazoa, Arthropoda, Insecta, Lepidoptera, Pyralidae. The record is from RefSeq and is a predicted model, not a curated record.